GACAGAGGGUGCAACCGUUGUUCGGAAUUACUGGGCGUAAAGCGAGUGUAGGCGGUCUCAUAAGUCCGCUGUGAAAGUCGGGGGCUCAACCCUCGGAUGCCGGUGGAUACUGUCGGGCUUGAGUACGGAAGAGGCGAGUGGAAUUCCUGGUGUAGCGGUGAAAUGCGCAGAUAUCAGGAGGAACACCAAUUGCGAAGGCAGCUCGCUGGGACGUUACUGACGCUGAGACGCGAAAGCGUGGGGAGCAAACAGG
RNAcentral lists this ribosomal RNA (253 nucleotides) under uncultured bacterium. RNAcentral's name for it is "partial 16S ribosomal RNA". It matches the Rfam family "Bacterial small subunit ribosomal RNA", at positions 524 to 776 of the family's 1533-position model. The record is from RNAcentral.